This 301-nucleotide ribosomal RNA is filed under the name uncultured bacterium. RNAcentral describes it as "partial 16S ribosomal RNA". It matches the Rfam family "Bacterial small subunit ribosomal RNA", at positions 509 to 807 of the family's 1533-position model. The record is from RNAcentral.
CAGUCGCCGCGGUAAUACGUAGGGUGCAAGCGUUAAUCGGAAUUACUGGGCGUAAAGCGUGCGCAGGCGGUUAUGUAAGACAGUUGUGAAAUCCCCGGGCUCAACCUGGGAACUGCAUCUGUGACUGCAUAGCUAGAGUACGGUAGAGGGGGAUGGAAUUCCGCGUGUAGCAGUGAAAUGCGUAGAUAUGCGGAGGAACACCGAUGGCGAAGGCAAUCCCCUGGACCUGUACUGACGCUCAUGCACGAAAGCGUGGGGAGCAAACAGGAUUAGAUACCCCCGUAGUCCCUGUCUCUUAUAC